GUGCAGCAGGCGCGAAAACUUUACAAUGUGCGAAAGCACGAUAAGGGAACUCUGAGUGCCUCCUAAGGAGGCUGUUCUGAUGUCUAAAAAGCAACAGAAGUAAGGGCUGGGUAAGACCGGUGCCAGCCGCCGCGGUAACACCGGCAGCCCAAGUGGUAGCCACGUUUAUUGGGUCUAAAGCGUUCGUAGCCGGCCAGGUAAGUUCCUUGGUAAAUUUAGCCGCUUAACGGUUAAGCUUUCAGGGAAUACUGCUUGGCUUGGGACUGGGAGAGGUCAGAGGUACUCCGGGGGUAGGGGUGAAAUCUAUUAAUCCCUGGGGGACCACCGGUAGCGAAGGCGUCUGACCAGACCAGGUCCGACGGUGAGGGACGAAGGCUAGGGGCGCGAACCGGAUUAGA
This 398-nucleotide ribosomal RNA is filed under the name uncultured microorganism. RNAcentral's name for it is "bacterial SSU rRNA". It matches the Rfam family "Archaeal small subunit ribosomal RNA", at positions 330 to 733 of the family's 1478-position model. The record is from RNAcentral.